CGACUUCGGGUCACGACGCGAGGGCUUC
Molecule: small RNA, 28 nt
Filed under: Bombyx mori (domestic silkworm)
Lineage: Eukaryota; Metazoa; Arthropoda; Insecta; Lepidoptera; Bombycidae
Description: ovarian small RNA-14214
Source: RNAcentral